Long non-coding RNA from Paramacrobiotus metropolitanus, 3465 nucleotides. RefSeq lists it as uncharacterized. The record is from RefSeq and is a predicted model, not a curated record. The transcript is spliced from 3 exons. Lineage: Eukaryota; Metazoa; Tardigrada; Eutardigrada; Parachela; Macrobiotidae.
UUAAAAUUACUGUUCUGCCUUCAGCCAUCGUUUUUACGUACAGAGUAGACGACACGCUGUCACUUACAACUGCCAACAUACUAUGAACAAUUUUAUUAAUUGUCGUUCCGAAACAUUACUGAUCGUGUCUGCGUUAAUCUGUCGAAAAAGAGUAGCACUUGGAAAUGUACCGAUGCUGGACAUUUUGGAUGAACACUGGAAUCCCAGUUCUCAAUAGCGGGCUUCAUACAUACAUGUAGUUGGUGCAACGACGAUCGUGAACUGCUGAACAGGUUGCAACACCACUAGAGAAAAAAGAGUGACAGCGGUGCAGUGUGUGUACAAAGGGAGAGCUCGUGCCAUCAGCGUUCCACCCACCGGAAAUCGUCGACAUGGAGAUCAGCCGUACUCAAACAUCACUAUUUUGCCGGUCGUUAGAGAUCGACUUGAACAAGUGCAAUAUCACCACAUGAGAAAUGUCUUGAAAAUUUAGUUUUAGUAAUACUUCUACUUCUAUUACGUAUUUGCCGGGACGAAUAACCGUACGAUGUAUGGUACUAGAUCAUUUUUAUAUUUAGUUUUGAAAGUUGCAGUUUAAUCGCUAUUUUUUAUUUUAGCAGUUUAACAGUGAGUUCCAACAUCGUAGUGAAAGUUAUGGUUUUAAUAAUUCUAGUUUUCCGGCAUAUGCCAUAUUUUAUUGUGUGCCAGAGGGAUAACAUACCAGGUUUUAUCCCUAGCCAUGCCAGUGGCAACGCCAGAGGCACUUGCCAGUGCCAGGUUUUACACCCUGCCCGACGAAAGUGCUUUCUCAGCAACUUUAUUUGACAUAAAUGCCUUUAACCGCUUGGCUUCCCAUUGCUUCUGUCACGUCGUGAAGCACCAGAUUUAUUGGGCUUCUUGCCGGCGAGAUACUCAAUAACUAAAUGAUAAUAGGCAAAAAAUACCGCAUAAGGUCACGCAUAAGGUCAUCAACCCAAGACAUGCACAUACGAGUAUAAUGUUGCCACGCGCAACUAUUGCGCGUAGCCACUACACUACAGCUUCCUUGUCCGUUCUUAAAAUUCGAUCAUUUGACUUCCAUUUGCAGCGAGACUGAGCUUCUCUAGACCGAUGAAAAUAAUAUUCAGACAAUAGACAUCUCCAUGGCGAGAAGAAUGCGCAAACACAGUGCAGCGAAUGCUAAACAGAGGUGCCGACAGCAGUUUUCAAAUUCCAGAUGACAACAACAACACCACAUUUCCCAGACAAGGAAGACACUAUACGACCUUGCCAUAUGUCUCUUUUAGACGCGUGGCUUCCCGUUGACCAGACAGCAGAGCACCGUGCACCAUUGACCAGUAUUUGGGAUGGGUGGCCUCGCCGGCAAAUAACAAUCCCGGAACUUUGGUUACCCACCCACCGAUGUCUUUCUCAUACCAAUAUUCACUGCUGGCCAAGUCCUCGGUAGCCAGCCCUUGCUUGACCAUUUCCAUGGUGAUAUGGCUGUACGCGCCGCGAAAUAAAUCAUUCUGCGACCAUCUUCCCCUGCAUUUAUGAUCAUUCACAUACAUUUAUCAUAAAAAGCUUUGAAGACAAUUAGCUACCUGAGGACUUUCUUAGGUUCUGGAACGACUUUUCCGGUGCUUUGUCGUAGCAACGCCGUCACUGAAGCGGAAACCUCCGCAUCUGUCAGACUCUCCAUUUCCACUGCUUGCGAUCCACCCAGCAUGACUAUCAGUGUAUUGUUCAUUGUAGGUGACUGCAUGACGAAGGCAAUUGCUCGCGCCCAAGGCUGUCCGGGCUGUGACAGAUACGAAACUUUAUAUUACAUGUAAUACUCAUUCAUCGCUGCUUAAAGGAUUACUAGUAAAUAAUUAUUGUACGAAGCGACAAUUUCUUGUUUCGCGAAGGAGUGCAACAACUGUGGGAAUUGCAAAGGCUUACAUAUGUUUUAUUUCGGUCAACAGUGAUGUCAUUUCCGCUGUCAAAUAAGUACGCAUAAUACGGCGGCAAAGUCCCAUUCCACCAUUCUUCCUCAUAUACGAGAUGCAGCUUUCCCAGCGUACCAAACCCGACACUCUGUAUGGCCGCACGUUUGCGCUCCGAUAACGGCGGAUCGAAAAGGUCAUCCAGAUGUGAUUUUAGAUGUCCAACGGCGGCCGUCAUAAUCACGUGAUCGGCACUUAGUUCCGUGCCGUUCGAUAGCGUAACAGUUAGCGGCGGAGCCUGUUCAGGACGAAAGCGGACCCGCUUGACAAGCGCACCGAACUGAAUGUCCUUGAUAGCAUCCGGGGUCCACAUUUUCAGGACAUCAGUGUAAGGAACGUUGAGGUCGAUGGCGUGGGGACCGACGAUGGAGAUGUUCGCCACCGAGUGAAUACUCAGAUUGAAGAAAUUGUCGGCACCAUAAUCCGCUUUUUGCAGCCUGUUUAAUUUUACAGAUUGAUCAUGAUUUUUAGAAUACCUGAAGCUUGAAAACAAUUGAGGUGACUCACCGCACAUACGCGUCGUAUGUCUGGUCAGCCGCCUCGAUUUUAUCCUCCGCAACGCUCUUCCUGAUUUUCUGAUAGGAAUUCAACAGAUGCUGUCCCAACGAUAAGCCGGUUUCGGAGAGAAAUGCGUUGUACGCUGAUUUGUUGAAAAGCAUCUCAUCCAACGUGGCGUGGAUCUGAAGCCGCGUCUCGACGUUCGUGACCUUAGAAAACCACCCAAGGGAUAAAUCAUGUUGGCUCCAAUCGCUUAGUGUUUAUAAUGUGCGCUCACUUCCGCUCCAUUUGCAUUUAAUAGCAAAAUGUUGCUGUCCUCUUCCUCUUUGUUCGGAUCAUCUUUCCGCAGAUCGUACGCUUUGGCCAAUAAGUUUCUUGAUUGUGCGAAGUCGUACAAUGGAUUGCUGUGUCCGUGCACCCAUUGACCUCCCAAUUCGAGCCACCCUGGAAAUAUUAUGCAGCGUGUGGAGCAAAGAAUCGAAAUGUAAAAUGUUUAAACUUGGUAAGAUGCUUUUUGAGAGGACGCAGGAAAAGCGGUCCACUCAGUUCCUGAAGCAGAGAAUCAUUAUUGCUUUAAUGCGAGGUAAUGCUGCUUGCGUUCAGGAAACCUUCUGCAUCGGGAGGAGGCUGGAUGAAGUGUACUAUGUGUUGCAAUAAUGUAUUGCGUGAUUUAGCGUUUAAACAAUGUUCAUUUGUGUAACCCAAUAAAAAUUUUCCUUUAUCCAUCAGUAUGAUUUCCUGAAUAAAUUUUGUAUUUUGCAGUCAAGAAUUGCAAUCCACGUUAAUGGCUGAUAAAGCACCAUCAGCGGUGAAGAGCGCUUGCACUAAUUUUUUGUCACAACGCUAUUAGAUGUCAUUAACUUGCCAUAAAAUUUUGUGAAAUCAAUGUGUACGAGUAGUAAUUUUUCAGCACUGCCGAUACAGUUACCUUCUCCCGUUUCACUGGGCACACUCCAUAAUCGUCCACCAUAGCGAUUUGAUGCCUCCAGCAAAGCCACCUCGAAUCCGGCUGUGAUUAAUU